AGAGGAGAGUGGGAGGUCCCCUUCCUCCCUCACCGCUCCAUGUGCGUCCCUCCCGAAGCUGCACGCUCGGUCGAAGAGGACGACCUUCCCCGAUAGAGGCGUGUACCGUUCAUCGGUCAAGGGUAUACGGUAGCUGCGCUCCCCUGCUAGAACCUCCAAACAAGCUCAAGGUCCAUUUGUAGGAGAACGUAGGGUAGUCAAGCUUCCAAGACUGCAGACACAUCCAAGUGAGGCACUGCAUGGGGCAGUCUGC
RNAcentral lists this small nuclear RNA (253 nucleotides) under Pterocles gutturalis (yellow-throated sandgrouse). RNAcentral's name for it is "7SK RNA". It matches the Rfam family "7SK RNA", at positions 70 to 323 of the family's 331-position model. From Rfam's summary of the family: 7SK was discovered as an abundant small nuclear RNA in the mid-70s but a possible function has only recently been suggested. Two independent studies have found that 7SK RNA binds the CDK9/cyclin T complex (known as elongation factor P-TEFb). The record is from Rfam by way of RNAcentral. Lineage: Eukaryota; Metazoa; Chordata; Aves; Pterocliformes; Pteroclidae.